RNAcentral lists this ribosomal RNA (493 nucleotides) under uncultured bacterium. Its description in RNAcentral is "partial 16S ribosomal RNA". It matches the Rfam family "Bacterial small subunit ribosomal RNA", at positions 29 to 507 of the family's 1533-position model. The record is from RNAcentral.
ACGAACGCUGGCGGCGUGCUUAACACCUGCAAGUCGAACGGUGAAGCGCCUUCCUUUUUGGUGGGUGUGGAUGAGUGGCGAACGGGUGAGUAACACGUUAGUAACCUGCCCCCUUCUUCUGGAUAACCGCAUGAAAGUGUGGCUAAUACGGGAUAUUCUGGGUCUGUCGCAUGAUGGGUCUGGGAAAGAUAUUGUUUCGGUGGGGGAUGGGCUCGCGGCCUAUCAGCUUGUUGGUGGGGUGAUGGCCUACCAAGGCGGUGACGGGUAGCCGGCCUGAGAGGGUGGACGGUCACACUGGGACUGAGACACGGCCCAGACUCCUACGGGAGGCAGCAGUGGGGAAUAUUGCACAAUGGGCGCAAGCCUGAUGCAGCGACGCCGCGUGAGGGAUGGAGGCCUUCGGGUUGUGAACCUCUUUCGCCAGUGAAGCAGGCCUGCCUCGUUUGUGGGUGGGUUGACGGUAGCUGGAUAAGAAGCGCCGGCUAACUACGUG